AUUGAACGCUGGCGGCAGGCCUAACACAUGCAAGUCGAGCGGGGAGGCGGACGGGUGAGUAAUGCCUAGGAAUCUGCCUGGGCGUGGGGGCUAACGUACGGAAACGGGCGCUAAUACCGAAUACUAUCAGAUGAGACUAUGUCGGAUUAGCUAGUUGGUGGGGUAACGGCCUACCAAGGCGAGGAUCCGUAACUGGUCUGGGAGGAUGAUCAGUCACACUGCAACUGAGACACGGUCCAGACUCCUACGGUAGGCAGCAGUGGGGAAUAUUGGACAAUGGGCUAAAGCCUGAUCCAGCCAUGCCGCGUGGGUGAAGAAGGUCUUCGGAUUGUAAAGCACUUUAAGUUGGUAGGCGUUACCAACAGAAUAAGCACCGGCUAACUUCGUGCCAGCAGCCGCGGUAAUUC
This 407-nucleotide ribosomal RNA is filed under the name uncultured bacterium. Its description in RNAcentral is "partial 16S ribosomal RNA". It matches the Rfam family "Bacterial small subunit ribosomal RNA", at positions 30 to 526 of the family's 1533-position model. The record is from RNAcentral.